UUAUGGUUCCCAUCUAUUACAUUAAAUACAGCAUUGCACAUGAUACACAUUCUGCCCCUCCAGAGAUUUAGGGGCCUUUGGGUACAAUGUAGACAGCAUAUAGUGUGUAUCUUCAAUCUUGCCUGACUACUGCAAGACUAGUAAACAGAAUAUCUCAAAAUUAUUGUUAUAAUGUAGAAAGGGUGGGGGGAGGAGGAAGGAAUCUAUCUAAGUCAAAGGUAGUUAAGGAGUUUGUGUACGAUUUAGGAAAGAAUUGAAUACACUAUGAAGGAAUCUUAAAUGAGACAGGGAAACUCAGCACUAUGCUACUGAUGUUAUUCUGCUGCAGUAAUGUGGUCUCUAAGGGAACCUGUGCUCUAUGCAUAUACUACCCAGCUAGGCUAUUCUGUAGCCCACUGGCUGCCUUGCUGCUGCUGGUGCUUUCAAAUGGAGGCUACUGCUGAUGUAGCAAGCAGAAUGCUGCACUCAUGCACCUAUUCCCCCAUCAUUUGAUAGUGUCAACUUGCUUUUAUUUCUUGCUUUCAACUUCAGGUCCAUUGUUCCUGUCUGAAAACAUUUUGACCUUUCUCUUUGUGGCAAAAUAAUUAGCAUACCGAUAAGAAGCAAUUUCCAUCUCUUAUACCUUGGAAAUGUACUAAGAGAAGAGGUGCAUUUGAAAAAGUUCACUGGUUGAAUGGUGAACAAAUGGUGGGCAUUUGGAAGCAUUGCAAGGAUUUUUGCUGUUUAUCGUGAAGCAGAUUUCUUACUUUUCUGGGUGAAUCCCUUAAGAUGGAAAGCAGGCUGGCUGAUGCUGAAAUGAUUGUUUGAUUGUCUGGCCUACUUGAAAGUACAGAGUUGGACUGUGUGCAUACACAAAUCAUUUGGACUACUUUGUUUUACAAUUCUUCAGCUUUCCAACUGAUAGUCCAUUCAGACUGCAGACAGCCAGGACCAACUUAUGAAGCAGCCACAUGAAGCUGAAGAAACGCAGUUACAGAAAAUGAAUUUGGAGAAAAACUGGUGAAUUCAACGCAGUGAGAGGCUUGGAAAACAGACUGGACCAAAGAACAAGUAUAUUACUGAACAAUUUCAGGUUGAUCUCAUGUAUUUGUAAUGGCUGGUACAUUCCUUCUACAACAUGGGUAUCAAACUCGUUGACGGAUCAUGACUGUUUUCGCAUUGCUGGAGCUGGGGUGGGCACGGCCUCCACAUGAUGCAACCGGCCCCUGGGCUGGCAGUUUGACACCCCUGUUCUACAAGAUUAUUCCUCUACUUUUAGAGGAGAACAAUUGUAACUGGAUUAAAAAGGGGUUAUAAUACAGUACGUACUUAAAAGGACUGUAUUACCUUAGUCCUUGAUGAUCAUUUCAGCUUUGUUAGUCUAAUCUUGGGCUCUCUUAGUUAUGAUUUGCUCCUUGUACUUUUUUGUGCUCACCCUUGCCUAAGAGAUCUCCUGUUAACAAUUGCGGGAGAUAUUUUAUUAAGUAUAACUACGUGAACAGUUCAAGUAUGAUAUGAAUCUGGGUGAGACUUUCACAGAAAAAAAUUCAUGGUAAUUUCUGAAAAGUAAUGUAUUAUGUGGAUUUAGAUGGACAAAUAGUGACAUUUUGAAAGACCCUGUUACAAUUGAUCUGGCUGAAGUUAAUCUACCUUGAACCUAGAGGUAAAGGAGCAUAUAAAAUACUUAAACUUGUGAAGAAAUUUUUAUCCUAAAUGUAAAAGUAUAUUACUAUAUUCAGUAGCCACAUAAAAAAAACAUUGUAAUAUAUAUAUUCAUUCAUCCUCUAUAUUAAUUGCUUUUUUGCUUUUUUAAGGUAAUAUAUCUUUUUUUACUUUUUCUGGAUUUUACUGUACAAAGUUUUACCAUCCCUGGUUGUCAGCACUGUAAAUUUUAUAAAGGAUUAUGCAUGACUGAUAGGAAAAAAAUCAUGAUUGAUAACUAGAUAUUGGUAACAAAGAAAUAUGAACCCACAGUUAUAAUCACUUAAUGUAUUAGGCCCUCAAAAAUAAUAAAAUAUUUUAGAAAUAUGUGCUUUGAGUAUAUUUUAUUCAUUUAUUAUAGCAAAUUAUAUAGCUCACAUCUCACAGUUGUAACUCUAGGUGUUAAAAUGAAGCAAAACAGAUGAGGGGGAAAAAAAACAAUGGCAGCCAAAGACAAAUGCCUCCAAUCAAAAAGAUGCAGAUAGUCCUCAACUUAACAACCAUUUAUUUAGCAUCUGUUCAAAGUUAUAACAGCACUGGAAAAAAAAAACAUUUACAAUCAUUCGGCACAUUUAUAAGUGUUGCAGCAUCCACUUGGCCAUGUGAUCAAAAUUAGAGCGCCUGGCUACUGGCAUGUGCUUACAACCAGUUGGAGCAUCUUGGGGUUGUGUGGUUGCCAUUUGAAAUCUUCUCAGCUGGCUUCCAACAAGCAAAGUCAAUGGGGGAGGGGGAUUCAGAUUUGCUUAAUGACUGCAUAAUUCUCAACAACGGCCUUAUUUCCCUUAUCCACUGUUGCUAAAAAGUUUGUAAAAUCAGGCAUGACUCCCUUAACACUUACUUUGCUUAGCAAAGGAAAUUCUGGUCAUCCAGACUCAUCCCUUUUCUACAUGUAUCAUUGUGUUACAUGCCCACCUAGAAGUGGUAGAGCAUUCUGUGCAAUGGUGUAAUGCUGCUUUUGUCAUUCUGACAAAACGAAACAAAACAAGAGAGAAGGGGGGGGGGGAAACAUCUAUUCUUUUUCUUAUAUCUUCAUAUUUGAAAAGUUUCUCUUUAAAACUGCAUUUAACUAGUUUUAAAAAAAUAUUUGACGAUCUCAAAUAUCAUAAGAUUUAUGACAUAAUUGUUAAGAAAAAGUAACUUUAAAAAAAACCCGACACCAGAAAUCGAUCUCAGAAAUGAUUAUUUUACAAGCAGUGCUUGCAAAAAUGUUGAUACUUGCCCAGCCACAUAUUCAUAUACCUAUGCUUAUUAAUCAAAGAAUGGCAAUUAUAACAAAUUAUUGACAUAAAGAUAUUAAAUGCUUCACUUUUGCUUUUUUCUUGAAUAUUCUUUUUUUUAAAAGAAAAUUGGACAGUAUCUCCUUGCUCCCUUUGAAAAUCUUUCUAUCUUUUGGUGAGAAGCCUGGAAGGAAGACUUUCCUUUUAUUAAAAUUAGUAAAUCUGAGAUGGACAGUGAUUUAUCUUUAUAUGUAUUUGUGUGUGUGUGUGUAUGUAGCCUUAUUGUCUUAUUCCAACAAACUCAGCUUAUCGGUGGGUAUGUAUGAUAUACAGUACACUAUUGUACCACUUGCUAAGAUAAUCAUAAAAAUGUAGAUAAACUGUAUUUAAUAAAAAUGUACUGUACAAUGUAUGAAACUUACUGCAGUAAGAUCUUAAUGAUUGAAAUAAAAAUAUCUUAUAAAAAUAAGAUAUUUUACAUAAAGGCAAGGACAGAAAAAUAUCCUUGCAUUCUUAAAAGGAACAGAAAAAUAAGAUGCAAACCAUUUUACAGUGAUCAUUGUUGCUACUUAUUUGGCCACUGAAAAACAUGCUGAAAGUAUAAUUUAUUAUAACAUUUUUCUCAUUAUCCAGUCUGGAAUUAUGUACUUUAGACCUAUAAAGGUCAAUUAAUGAUAUCUGCUCUACAUAGAUUUCAUGCUAGAAAAUACACAGAAUACACCCUGAAUUUUAAUUGUAGAAUCGUCCCUAAUACUGCUGAGGUUUGUCCAAAUUGGAUCUUGGCAAACAAACUCUUACUGAGAACAAGCCAAUAUAUACAGAACUCAACAUCCAAGGGAAAGAAAUUACACAAUCACCUCUGGAUAACAGUUCGUAGGCUGAGUAUUUUGGCAACAGCGGAGGGAUCCCUUAGUGUUCAUUAUCACUGAUUUCCAGUGAAGAUGAAUUCCACACAAAGUCAUACAAUGACAGGUCUUGAAAUUUGUGAACACUGAUGCUUUCAGUCAAUGAAUCUAUAAUUUUUGGAAAGAAAUUGUUAAAAAGCAUUGUAUUAAAAUGUAUAAAGUAUUAUUAGCUAUAUGUAUAUACUGGGUCAAACAGAUAUGGGACAGUAAGGAUAUGUGCACCUCACACAAUCAUUUAGUAGUAUGAUUGCAAGAAAGAAUAAUAAUCUCAAGGCUUCUAGUUUUUUUUUUUUUAAAUGAUGCCUCCUCAUAGAAAUCAGGAUCCAUAUGAAUUCUGUUCAAGCAUUAUACCAUCCAGAGCAGUUGGGGUCAGGUGGAGUGACAACA
Long non-coding RNA from Crotalus tigris (Tiger rattlesnake), 4189 nucleotides. RefSeq lists it as uncharacterized. The record is from RefSeq and is a predicted model, not a curated record. NCBI's taxonomy places the organism in Eukaryota, Metazoa, Chordata, Lepidosauria, Squamata, Viperidae. The transcript is spliced from 4 exons.